UUAAAUUGAAGAGUUUGAUCAUGGCUCAGAUUGAACGCUGGCGGCAGGCCUAACACAUGCAAGUCGAGCGGCAGCGGGAAAGUAGCUUGCUACUUUUGCCGGCGAGCGGC
RNAcentral lists this ribosomal RNA (110 nucleotides) under Aeromonas caviae. RNAcentral's name for it is "partial 16S ribosomal RNA". It matches the Rfam family "Bacterial small subunit ribosomal RNA", at positions 1 to 99 of the family's 1533-position model. Lineage: Bacteria; Pseudomonadati; Pseudomonadota; Gammaproteobacteria; Aeromonadales; Aeromonadaceae. The record is from RNAcentral. RNAcentral also lists the same sequence under 2 other names.